Choloepus didactylus (southern two-toed sloth) is the source of this 392-nucleotide long non-coding RNA. RefSeq lists it as uncharacterized. NCBI's taxonomy places the organism in Eukaryota, Metazoa, Chordata, Mammalia, Pilosa, Megalonychidae. The transcript is spliced from 3 exons. The record is from RefSeq and is a predicted model, not a curated record.
AAGCUAUUUGGCUCCGCGGGAGAGACCUCGGUCCAAAGGGGUCACUCCAAUUAGCUGCUGAUCCAAGCCGGAGCCCGGGGGUCUGGGGCUGCCUCCGCUGCUCACUUCCCAGAGGCGAGGAUUGAAAAACAGUCAGAGGAACAGGCGUUCUCAGAAAACCAGUGGUUGAAUUGGGGAGCGGGUGAUUCCAGUGCUGGAAAAGAAAGUAUUUUGAUUUUCAUGUUAUGGAAUAUGCGUUUUUCCCCUUUCUUCUCUGGCAUUUUUGAGGAGCAGCGUGUCCAGAAUAAGGGAGGUGACGGUUCCAUGGCAUUCUGGGCUGGCUGGUCCACUCUGCUGUGUCCCAGUUGGCUCUAGCCCCCACAGGUAACCUGGACCUUGACAGCUCUCUGGUC